AGUAACACGUGAGCAACCUGCCUUUCAGAGGGGGAUAACAGUUGGAAACGACUGCUAAUACCGCAUAACGCUGCGAUGGGGCAUCCCGAUGCAGCCAAAGGAGCAAUCCGCUGGAAGAUGGGCUCGCGGCCGAUUAGCUAGUUGGUGGGGCAACGGCCCACCAAGGCGACGAUCGGUAGCCGGACUGAGAGGUUGAUCGGCCACAUUGGAACUGAGACACGGUCCAAACUCCUACGGAAGGCAGCAG
This 247-nucleotide ribosomal RNA is filed under the name uncultured bacterium. Its description in RNAcentral is "partial 16S ribosomal RNA". It matches the Rfam family "Bacterial small subunit ribosomal RNA", at positions 109 to 354 of the family's 1533-position model. The record is from RNAcentral.